Molecule: ribosomal RNA, 157 nt
Filed under: uncultured bacterium
Lineage: Bacteria
Description: partial 16S ribosomal RNA
Rfam family: Bacterial small subunit ribosomal RNA
Source: RNAcentral
UGAGUAAUAUUGGUCAAUGGGCGGGAGCCUGAACCAGCCAAGCCGCGUGAAGGAAGAAGGCGCCAGGCGUCGUAAACUUCUUUUGUCGGGGAACAAAGGGCGCCACGCGUGGCGUUGUGAGUGUACCCGAAGAAAAAGCAUCGGCUAACUCCGUGCC